UUCCUGGUGUCUCAGAUGGUAAAGAAUCUGCCUGCAGUGCAGAAGACCUGGGUUUGAUCUCUGAGUUGGGAAG
Bos taurus (domestic cattle) is the source of this 73-nucleotide non-coding RNA. NCBI's taxonomy places the organism in Eukaryota, Metazoa, Chordata, Mammalia, Artiodactyla, Bovidae. The record is from Rfam.